AUAGUACUCCCUUCGUCCGGAAAUACUUGUCGGGAAAAUGGAUAAAAAUGAGUGUAUCUAGAACUAAAAUACGUCUAGGUACACUCAUUUCUCCGACGAGUAUUUUUGGACGGAGGGAGUACUAC
This is a non-coding RNA of Triticum aestivum (bread wheat), 125 nucleotides long. The record is from Rfam. NCBI's taxonomy places the organism in Eukaryota, Viridiplantae, Streptophyta, Magnoliopsida, Poales, Poaceae.